RNAcentral lists this ribosomal RNA (429 nucleotides) under bacterium. Its description in RNAcentral is "partial 16S ribosomal RNA". It matches the Rfam family "Bacterial small subunit ribosomal RNA", at positions 355 to 776 of the family's 1533-position model. The record is from RNAcentral.
UAGGGAAUCUUCGGCAAUGGGGGCAACCCUGACCGAGCAACGCCGCGUGAGUGAAGAAGGUUUUCGGAUCGUAAAGCUCUGUUGUAAGAGAAGAACGUGUGUGAGAGUGGAAAGUUCACACAGUGACGGUAACUUACCAGAAAGGGACGGCUAACUAAGUGCCAGCAGCCGCGGUAAUACGUAGGUCCCGAGCGUGGUCCGGAUUUAUUGGGCGUAAAGCGAGCGCAGGCGGUUUAAUAAGUCUGAAGUUAAAGGCAGUGGCUUAACCAUUGUUCGCUUUGGAAACUGUUAAACUUGAGUGCAGAAGGGGAGAGUGGAAUUCCAUGUGUAGCGGUGAAAUGCGUAGAUAUAUGGAGGAACACCGGUGGCGAAAGCGGCUCUCUGGUCUGUAACUGACGCUGAGGCUCGAAAGCGUGGGGAGCAAACAGG